GACGAACGCUGGCGGCGUGCUUAACACAUGCCAGUCGAACGGAAAGGCCCUGCUUUUGUGGGGUGCUCGAGUGGCGAACGGGUGAGUAACACGUGAGUAACCUGCCCUUGACUUUGGGAUAACUUCAGGAAACUGGGGCUAAUACCGGAUAGGAGCUCCUGCUGCAUGGUGGGGGUUGGAAAGUUUCGGCGGUUGGGGAUGGACUCGCGGCUUAUCAGCUUGUUGGUGGGGUAGUGGCUUACCAAGGCUUUGACGGGUAGCCGGCCUGAGAGGGUGACCGGCGACAUUGGGACUGAGAUACGGCCCAGACGCCUACGGGAGGCAGCAGUGGGGAAUAUUGCACAAUGGGCGGAAGCCUGAUGCAGAAACGCCGCGUGCGGGAUGACGGCCUUCGGGUUGUAAACCGCUUUCGCCUGUGACGAAGCGUGAGUGACGGUAAUGGGUAAAGAAGCACCGGCUAACUACGUG
Molecule: ribosomal RNA, 468 nt
Filed under: uncultured bacterium
Lineage: Bacteria
Description: partial 16S ribosomal RNA
Rfam family: Bacterial small subunit ribosomal RNA
Source: RNAcentral